CAGUCGCCACGGUAAUACGAAGGGGGCUAGCGUUGUUCGGAAUUACUGGGCGUAAAGGGCGCGUAGGCGGCCAUUCAAGUUAGAUGUGAAAGCCCUGGGCUCAACCUAGGAAUUGCAUUUGAUACUGUUUGGCUUGAGAUCGGGAGAGGUGAGUGGAAUUCCCAGUGUAGAGGUGAAAUUCGUAGAUAUUGGGAAGAACACCAGUGGCGAAGGCGGCUCACUGGACCGACACUGACGCUGAGGCGCGAAAGCGUGGGGAGCAAACAGGAUUAGAUACCCCGGUAGUCCCUGUCUCUUAUAC
This 301-nucleotide ribosomal RNA is filed under the name uncultured bacterium. Its description in RNAcentral is "partial 16S ribosomal RNA". It matches the Rfam family "Bacterial small subunit ribosomal RNA", at positions 509 to 807 of the family's 1533-position model. The record is from RNAcentral.